GAUGAACGCUGGCGGUAUGCUUAACACAUGCAAGUCGAACGGACUCUUCGGAGUUAGUGGCGGACGGGGGAGGAACGCGGGAGAAGCUGGCUGUGGGUUCGGGACAACCACUGGAAACGGUGGCUAAUACCGGAUGUGCCGAGAGGUAAAAGAGAAAUUGCCUGAAGAUGAGCUCGCGUCUGAUUAGCUAGUUGGUGAGGUAAGGGCUCACCAAGGAAGCGAUCAGUAGCUGGUCUGAGAGGAUGACCAGCCACACUGAGUCUGAGACACGGCCCAGACUCCUGCGGGAGGCAGCAGUGGGGAAUUGUCCGCUAGGGGCAAGCGCCUGACGGAACAAUACCGCGUGGGGGAAGAAGCCUCUUGGGUUGUAAACCUCUUUUCUUAGGGAAGAACAAAAUGACGGUACCUAAUGAAUCAGCAUCGGCUAACUCCGUG
This 435-nucleotide ribosomal RNA is filed under the name uncultured bacterium. Its description in RNAcentral is "partial 16S ribosomal RNA". It matches the Rfam family "Bacterial small subunit ribosomal RNA", at positions 28 to 507 of the family's 1533-position model. The record is from RNAcentral.